RNAcentral lists this transfer RNA (63 nucleotides) under Pseudocardium sachalinense (Sakhalin surf clam). RNAcentral describes it as "tRNA-Ser". The record is from RNAcentral. Lineage: Eukaryota; Metazoa; Mollusca; Bivalvia; Venerida; Mactridae.
GGUCCCGGUGGAAUAGAUUUACCUUGAAAGUAGAGCUAGGGCGUUCGACUCGUUCAGGGACUU